ACACUCCUGCGGGAGGCAACAGUGGGGAAUAUUGGACAAUGGGCGCAAGCCUGAUCCAGCCAUGCCGCGUGAGUGAUGAAGGCCCUAGGGUUGUAAAGCUCUUUCACCGGUGAAGAUAAUGACGGUAACCGGAGAAGAAGCCCCGGCUAACUUCGUGCCAGCAGCCGCGGUAAUACGAAGGGGGCUAGCGUUGUUCGGAUUUACUGGGCGUAAAGCGCACGUAGGCGGACUAUUAAGUCAGGGGUGAAAUCCCGGGGCUCAACCCCGGAACUGCCUUUGAUACUGGUAGUCUUGAGUUCGAGAGAGGUGAGUGGAAUUCCGAGUGUAGAGGUGAAAUUCGUAGAUAUUCGGAGGAACACCAGUGGCGAAGGCGGCUCACUGGCUCGAUACUGACGCUGAGGUGCGAAAGCGUGGGGAGCAAACAGGAUUAGAUACCCGGGUAGUCCCAUG
Molecule: ribosomal RNA, 450 nt
Filed under: uncultured organism
Description: partial 16S ribosomal RNA
Rfam family: Bacterial small subunit ribosomal RNA
Source: RNAcentral